UUGCCCCGAGAUGAGUUCUCCCUGACUCCUUGAGAGUCCUGAAGGAACGUUGAAGACGACGACGUUGAUAGGCCGGGUGUGUAAGCGCAGCGAUGCGUUGAGCUAACCGGUACUAAUGAACCGUGAGGCUUAACCUU
Molecule: ribosomal RNA, 137 nt
Filed under: Escherichia coli
Lineage: Bacteria; Pseudomonadati; Pseudomonadota; Gammaproteobacteria; Enterobacterales; Enterobacteriaceae
Also listed under: 2 other names
Description: partial 23S ribosomal RNA
Rfam family: Bacterial large subunit ribosomal RNA
Source: RNAcentral